Oreochromis aureus is the source of this 1572-nucleotide long non-coding RNA. NCBI's taxonomy places the organism in Eukaryota, Metazoa, Chordata, Actinopteri, Cichliformes, Cichlidae. The record is from Ensembl.
UGGUAACAAAUUUAACAGUUUACUUAAAUAACAAAAUACAUGGAAAAUUUACAUGUAAUCUGAUUACUUAAAGUCAGUAUUUUGAGCACGAUUAUGUUUUUUAAAUGUAAGCUGAAAUGCAACAAGUGCAAAUAUUGUAGGCAAAUUACAAUUUGUCACAUUUUUUUAUCCUGUUUCCAUGGUAAUUUGUUACUUUGAUAGUAAAGUGAACAAAAGCAGUGUUUAAGUCCAUACCAAAGCCAACAUGUAAGCAUUGAGAUCAUCAUCAUACUGUACAGCACACAGGGUGUAAAUACAGAGAGCGAGUGCAAACGGCACAAAUAGACAAAAACAUGGGAACGAGUCAUAAUGCACGUACGCAUCUCAUUGGCUACUCCUGGGUUCCAAUAGCAGAGUCAGUAGGAGUUGGUCUUUGUGAACAAUUAUUGUUUUAUCAUGUUAUACAUCCAACAUUUAAACUUUCAGAGUCACAUUUAGGUAGCUUAGAGCUUUGGUGUGGUAGAGGUUUGUGUGCGUAUCUGUGUGUGCUGAUAGAAGACUGUGUGUCUGUGUGUGUAUCUUUUAAUCUCCAUCUAUCCUAUCAUCUUGAACAGUAGAUUGUAAACUUACCUUAUCUUUAGAUGACUAAAUGUCUUGUAGUAGGACCCAGAGGAACUGCUUGUGUGACCGCUACCUGGCCGUUUCUUAUUGCCUUAAUGUCGUCUUGUAAACUCUGCGGUAUUUUUCACUGAUAUCAUUUACCAAAGAAACAGCAGGUAACGCUUUAUGACAUCCUUUAGAUAUUAGCUGGUUGCUUGUAUUUACUUUGAUUGAAGCACUUUAAAAUGAUAUAUAGUUCCUUUUAAUAUAAUUCACUCAAAGUGCCCCAAAUGGUUUGAUGCCUUAAAUAAAUAUCAAAUCAUUUAUAAUGUAUUAAAUUAUGAAACAAACAGCCGGCACAACCAAUUCAAAGAAAAAAAAGGAAUCGAGAUAGAAACACUUUUUUUUACAUGGCCGUGAGAGGACCUUUAACUGACCAGUAGCACAGCAAAGUGCCCUCUCAUAUUCUGUGUACAGUAGAAAAUGGCAGAAUAAGUAUAUAUGGGGUUCUUUAAGUGCAAAAAAAAAAAAAAAAAUUUGCAUGUACAAAAAAUGUGAAAAAAAUCUAUUUUAAUAAUGUGACAGAGAAGCGAGCGUCUUGAUAUCCUUUCAUACUCAUUUUCCACCUCAUCUCAACAGAAUAAGAUGCUUUUUAGCUCUGCAGAUCAGGUUGAUUGUAGCAUCUAACAGUUUAGUGCUCCCGCCCUUAAAAGCCUUAUAACAGAAGUCUAAUGGGAUUCUCCAGCUUAAAAAAAGGGCCUUUACAGUGCGCUCUUUGAAUUCUGUCUCACACGUUCCUGUUUCAACUCGUACCCUCUGUGUCUCUCCUUCUAGCUCUCUCUCUCUCUCUCCCUCACACCCUCCCUCUCUUGAAGCGAUGUUGAAGCUGUUCCUACCUCUGUGACAGUUGUCUCCAUCUGCCUCAUCAUCAUCAUUUCAUCCGUCCCAUUCUGCGUCUUCUCUGCCGUUCCUCCGUUCAUACAUUGACUCAUC